This 214-nucleotide unclassified non-coding RNA is filed under the name Hevea brasiliensis (rubber tree). Lineage: Eukaryota; Viridiplantae; Streptophyta; Magnoliopsida; Malpighiales; Euphorbiaceae. The record is from RNAcentral.
AGGCCUUCUUCCUGAAGCCGGAUCAGGGCCUCAUGAACCGGGGUCCGGCUCAUGCCGAGCCGGAGCGCGAUUUCCUGCUCCGAGCCCUGGUAGCCGGGCGCGAAGGCGUUGUCGCGAAUGGCGUUCUUCAGCGCCUGAUAGGCGUCGGCGACAAGCGAGGGUGCCUUGGCAAGCGGCUCUGCGGUGGGCGUUUUGAGGCGACUCAUGUCCGUUC